AACGAACGCUGGCGGCAGGCCUAACACAUGCAAGUCGAGCGAGGACUUCGGUUCUAGCGGCGGACGGGUGAGUAACGCGUGGGAAUGUGCCCUUCUCUACGGAAUAGCCCUGGGAAACUGGGAGUAAUACCGUAUACGCCCUAUUGGGGAAAGAUUUAUCGGAGAAGGAUCAGCCCUCGUUGGAUUAGGUAGUUGGUGGGGUAAUGGCCUACCAAGCCGACGAUCCAUAGCUGGUUUGAGAGGAUGAUCAGCCACACUGGGACUGAGACACGGCCCAGACUCCUACGGGAGGCAGCAGUGGUGAAUCUUAGACAAUGGGGGCAACCCUGAUCUAGCCAUGCCGCGUGAGUGAUGAAGGCCUUAGGGUUGUAAAGCUCUUUCAGCUGGGAAGAUAAUGACGGUACCAGCAGAAGAAGCCCCGGCUAGCUCCGUG
RNAcentral lists this ribosomal RNA (433 nucleotides) under uncultured bacterium. RNAcentral describes it as "partial 16S ribosomal RNA". It matches the Rfam family "Bacterial small subunit ribosomal RNA", at positions 29 to 507 of the family's 1533-position model. The record is from RNAcentral.